This 253-nucleotide ribosomal RNA is filed under the name uncultured bacterium. RNAcentral's name for it is "partial 16S ribosomal RNA". It matches the Rfam family "Bacterial small subunit ribosomal RNA", at positions 524 to 776 of the family's 1533-position model. The record is from RNAcentral.
GACGUAGGGUCCAAGCGUUGUCCGGAUUUACUGGGCGUAAAGAGCGCGUAGGCGGUCCGUUAAGUGUAGAGUGAAAGCUCCGGGCUCAACUCGGAAAUUGCUCUGCAUACUGGCGGACUCGAGGGCGGAAGAGGUUUGUGGAAUUCCUGGUGUAGCGGUGAAAUGCGUAGAUAUCAGGAGGAACACCCAUGGCGAAGGCAGCAAACUGGUCCGCAUCUGACGCUGAGGCGCGAAAGCGUGGGUAGCAAACAGG